Molecule: long non-coding RNA, 1932 nt
Organism: Cyprinus carpio carpio
Lineage: Eukaryota; Metazoa; Chordata; Actinopteri; Cypriniformes; Cyprinidae
Source: Ensembl
GUUAAGUGUUGUAAUGGAUAUAUCUGAGUGGGUUUAUGUUGUAAAAUUAGUCUAGAUAUCUUGAUAAACAGCUAACUGGUAACUUAGUUAGCAACUGAUACGUACAUUUUUAAAAGUUAGCUUUUAGUACAAUAUACAUGUUUAUUAAUUAAUGUUAGUUUAGCUUUAAGAAAUUUACAAUGUAUUUUGUUUUAUUACGAUGUGAUUUAAUGUAUAUGUUUUAAUGUGUAUAUAUAUUUAAUGUUUUUAGGUUUAGAUAGCAAAUGUUGCCGUUCUUUUGGAAAACUGCUGGUCUUUAAAGAACAGUCAUUAAUCAGGAUCCUCUGUUCCCAGACCCAACCAUUCAUCUGAAGGACUGUGAAAAUAUGAACCCUUUGAACCACCGGUGACAGUUUCCACAUGAUAAAUAGAAAGGACAUGGCAGAGGAUGAUAGGGGUGUUGAUAUUUCACUGAAAUUAAACAUCAUUUAAUUACAUUUAGUCUGCUAGUCAGAAUUAUAGCUGAUUAAAUAAAAAUAAAUAGUGGUUCAUGUUUGUUUUGGGAUAGUGGUUCAUGAGUGCUUUGUCCUGAACAGUUUAAAUGGCCGCUUUUCUUCAGAAAAAUCCUCCAGAUCCUUCACUUUCUCAGGUUUUCCAGCAUCUUUUGCAUAUUUGAACUCUUUCCAGCAAUGAAUGUAUGAUUUCAGAUCCAUUUUUUACACUGAGGACAAUUGAGGGACUCAUACACAACUAUUUCAAAAGGUAAACGCAUUUAUUGAUUUUCAAGAAAUUCAUUUUUUCUGAAAAUCAGUGUUAAAAAGUAUGUAGCUUCAGAAGGGCAGUACUAAAUUAACAGAUAUGAUCUUUAAACAAAACAAGAAAAAUUUACUUAUCAUCCUGUUCAAAAUGUACACCCCCCAACUCUUAAUACAUUGUGUUUCCUUCUGGAGCAUCAGUGAACAAUGUUUUCACCUUUCAUAAUAGUUGGGUAUGAGUCCUUCAUUUUUCCUCAGAGUGAAGAGAAAAUGAUUAGUCAUUGUCGGACAAGGGCCAAAUAUGCAGAAGAUGCUAGAAAACCAAAGAAUUUGUGGGACUUGGAGGACUUUUCUGAAGAACAGCAGGCAGUUGAAUUGCUCUGGACUCAUGAAAAACUAUCCCAAAACAUAAAAAUAUUUGGGUCAUCCAGUAUAUGUAAACUUCUGAACAUUUUUAUAAAUUAUACAUUUUCAUUUUUAUAAAAUCAGUAAAUAUGUAAAUAUCUAUUAAGUAAAAUUGCUUAUUCAUGACGGUACUAAAUAUAAAUAGCAUACAUUAUGAGCCCUCUUAUUUUGUUAAAAUUAUCGCAUAUUCUGCUCGGCACAGAUGGGCAAACUCAGUCCUGGAGGGCUACUGUCCUGCAGAGUUUCGCUCCAACCCUAAUUAAACAGACCUGAAGCUAAUCAAGGUCUUCAGACAGGUGAGUUUGAUCAGGGUUGGAGCAGAACUCUGCAGGACAGUAGCCCUCCAGGACUGAGUUUGCUCAUCUCUUUGAUGGGGUAUGUAAACUUAUGAGCAUAACAGUAUCUUCUGUAGCUUCUGAAAGGCAGAAUUAAAUGAAAAAACAUGGCAUGGUCCUGAUGGUGCCGUAAGAGUUGUAGAAUAUGUGUGUGUUACUGUCUGAUUGAGAGAGCGGUAAUCACUGUCCUGAUUUUGCAGUAUCCAUUGCAAGUGUAUUCAUUAUUGUGUUUGUCUUUUGGUUAGUAUACAUUUUUUAUUGUUUCUUUUCAAAAUUAUUUUAUUUUUUAUUCAGUUUAAUGUUGUACUUGAAGUGACUGUGUUUGCAAAAUAUUUAAAAUAUUUUUCUCAAUCUAAAUUAUGUUGCAGUCCUGCUGAGAUUGUUUAAUAAUAUUUGCAGUCCUGUUAAAUGUUUGCUGUCUUGCAUUUGCUAAAAAAAAUAAAAAUUGAGUUUUGUUG